This 253-nucleotide ribosomal RNA is filed under the name uncultured bacterium. Its description in RNAcentral is "partial 16S ribosomal RNA". It matches the Rfam family "Bacterial small subunit ribosomal RNA", at positions 524 to 776 of the family's 1533-position model. The record is from RNAcentral.
UACGAGGGGGGCGAGCGUUGUUCGGAAUUAUUGGGCGUAAAGGGUGCGUAGGCGGUUCCGCAAGUCCUGUGUGAAAUCUUCGGGCUCAACUCGAAGUCUGCACGGGAAACUGCGGGGCUUGAGUGUGGGAGAGGUGAGUGGAAUUCCCGGUGUAGCGGUGAAAUGCGCAGAUAUCAGGAGGAACACCGGUGGCGAAGGCGGAUCUCUGGGCCAUUACUGACGCUGAGGAGCGAAAGCGUGGGGAGCGAACAGG